RNAcentral lists this ribosomal RNA (310 nucleotides) under uncultured soil bacterium. RNAcentral's name for it is "bacterial SSU rRNA". It matches the Rfam family "Bacterial small subunit ribosomal RNA", at positions 26 to 338 of the family's 1533-position model. The record is from RNAcentral.
AGAUUGAACGCUGGCGGCAUGCCUUACACAUGCAAGUCGAACGGCAGCACGGGGGCAACCCUGGUGGCGAGUGGCGAACGGGUGAGUAACAUAUCGGAACGUGCCCUGGAGUGGGGGAUAACUAGUCGAAAGAUUAGCUAAUACCGCAUACGAUCUACGGAUGAAAGUGGGGGAUCGCAAGACCUCAUGCUCGUGGAGCGGCCGAUAUCUGAUUAGCUAGUUGGUGGGGUAAAGGCCUACCAAGGCAUCGAUCAGUAGCUGGUCUGAGAGGACGACCAGCCACACUGGGACUGAGACACGGCCCAGACCU